GACGAACGCUGGCGGCGUGCUUAACACAUGCAAGUCGAACGGAAAGGCCCUGCUUUUGUGGGGUGCUCGAGUGGCGAACGGGUGAGUAACACGUGAGUAACCUGCCCUUGACUUUAGGAUAACUUCAGGAAACUGGGGCUAAUACCGGAUAGGAGCUCCUGCUGCAUGGUGGGGGUUGGAAAGUUUCGGCGGUUGGGGAUGGACUCGCGGCUUAUCAGCUUGUUGGUGGGGUAGUGGCUUACCAAGGCUUUGACGGGUAGCCGGCCUGGGAGGGUGACCGGCCACAUUGGGACUGAGAUACGGCCCAGACUCCUACGGGAGGCAGCAGUGGGGAAUAUUGCACAAUGGGCGGAAGCCUGAUGCAGCAACGCCGCGUGCGGGAUGACGGCCUUCAGGUUGUAAACCGCUUUCGCCUGUGACGAAGCGUGAGUGACGGUAAUGGGUAAAGAAGCACCGGCUAACUACGU
This 467-nucleotide ribosomal RNA is filed under the name uncultured bacterium. RNAcentral's name for it is "partial 16S ribosomal RNA". It matches the Rfam family "Bacterial small subunit ribosomal RNA", at positions 28 to 506 of the family's 1533-position model. The record is from RNAcentral.